RNAcentral lists this ribosomal RNA (253 nucleotides) under uncultured bacterium. RNAcentral's name for it is "partial 16S ribosomal RNA". It matches the Rfam family "Bacterial small subunit ribosomal RNA", at positions 524 to 776 of the family's 1533-position model. The record is from RNAcentral.
UACGUAGGGCGCAAGCGUUGUCCGGAUUCACUGGGCGUAAAGGGUGUGUAGGUGGCGCGCUAAGUCGGGUGUGAAAUUUCGGAGCUUAACUCCGAAACUGCAUUCGAUACUGGCGUGCUUGAGGACUGGAGAGGAGACUGGAAUUUACGGUGUAGCGGUGAAAUGCGUAGAUAUCGUAAGGAAGACCAGUGGCGAAGGCGGGUCUCUGGACAGUUCCUGACGCUGAGGCACGAAGGCCAGGGGAGCAAACGGG